AGCAGCCGCGGUAAUUCCAGCUCCAAUAGCGUAUAUUAAAGUUGUCGCAGUUAAAAAGCUCGUAGUUGAAUUUCGGGGUCGGUAGAUUGGUCGUGCCUCUGGUAUGCACUGGUCUUACUGGCUCCUCCUUCCUGAUGAACCGUAAUGCCAUUAAUUUGGUGUUGCGGGGAGACUGGACUGUUACUUUGAAAGAAUUAGAGUGUUUAAAGCAGGCUAACGCUUGAAUACAUUAGCAUGGAAUAAUGAAAUAGGACGUUCGAUCUUAUUUUGUUGGUUUCUAAGAUUGACGUAAUGAUUAAUAGGGAUAGUUGGGGGCAUUAGUAUUCAAUUGUCAGAGGUGAAAUUCUUGGAUUUAU
RNAcentral lists this ribosomal RNA (356 nucleotides) under uncultured Glomeraceae. RNAcentral's name for it is "SSU rRNA". It matches the Rfam family "Eukaryotic small subunit ribosomal RNA", at positions 569 to 929 of the family's 1831-position model. Lineage: Eukaryota; Fungi; Glomeromycota; Glomeromycetes; Glomerales; Glomeraceae. The record is from RNAcentral.